This 459-nucleotide ribosomal RNA is filed under the name uncultured bacterium. RNAcentral describes it as "partial 16S ribosomal RNA". It matches the Rfam family "Bacterial small subunit ribosomal RNA", at positions 338 to 795 of the family's 1533-position model. The record is from RNAcentral.
CCUACGGGAGGCAGCAGUGAGGAAUAUUGGUCAAUGGGCGGGAGCCUGAACCAGCCAAGCCGCGUGAGGGAAGAAGGUACAGCGUAUCGUAAACCUCUUUUGUCAGGGAACAAAGGCGGGGACUAGUCCCCGGAUGAGGGUACCUGAAGAAAAAGCAUCGGCUAACUCCGUGCCAGCAGCCGCGGUAAUACGGAGGAUGCGAGCGUUAUCCGGAUUUAUUGGGGUUAAAGGGUGCGCAGGCGGACUGUUAAGUCAGCGGUAAAAGCCCGGGGCUCAACCCCGGCGAGCCGUUGAAACUGGCUGUCUGGAGUUGGAGAGAGGUACGCGGAAUGCGCGGUGUAGCGGUGAAAUGCUUAGAUAUCGCGCAGAACCCCGAUUGCGAAGGCAGCAUACCGGCGGCGAACUGACGCUGAGGCACGAAAGCGUGGGUAUCGAACAGGAUUAGAUACCCGAGUAGUC